UUUUUUCUUUUUUUUUUCUGAUUUUCCCCUCACUUUUAAACUUACAUCACCUUUCUGAAGUCUUUCCUUUCACACUGGCAUAGUGCAAAAAAGUGAUCUCAUUUUAAUGGUAAUAAAAAUACUGCCCUUCACCAAGGCAAAACUGAUGCAUGUUGAUUAUGACACACCUGUCCCCUUCUAGAGCUUUCUGUUUUAUCUUCUCUAGGAUCGUUCUCUAUUUUAAAGCUACUGUUGGGCCUCUUUCUCUUUUUGCUCCUUAUCAGAAUGUUUAAUACAGAUUCCACAAGUAUCACACUACUUGAAAAAUAGCUACCUAACUUCUUUUGGGAUGAGGACUCUACAUCUUCAGGAGGCAUCUAAUACUUCCCAAAACGAGGGCACUGACUGCUUCUUGAUGGUACCAAGUCUCAACUAAGAAAAACAGCAGGUCAUCCAAUGCCUCCAAUGAACAGAUGGCUCCCUUUCUAUAUGGAAGAGCAUCCAGGUGGGAAUAAGAACAGCUUAGAUGUCCUCAAAGCCUUUGUGAGUUAAUCAGGAGGGAAAGUCAUUCAGAGGAAACAUGUUACAGAGCCAACUACAUGUCAGAAGAUAAAGUCCUCUCCUCUGGAUCUUUCUAGAAGCCCCUCGGGCUGUAAGUCCCCAGGGCCUCUGAAUCCUCCUCCAACCACUCCAAAUCCCAGUCCUGCAUUCUGGCCACUCUAGGUGAAGAGCCCUUACCUAACCUAACGUUUAAAGACCCUUCCUGCUCCUACACCUUUGUUUUGGUGCUUCCCUGCACCUGGAAGGCCGCUUCCUCUCUCCUUGUCAUCUGGCAAGCUCCUUCUUCCCAUUUCAAAUUCAGCUGUCACUUCCUCUCCUAAGUCACCCCUAUUUACUCGUGCAGUUCCACACAUUUGAACAUUUAUCACAUUGCUCUCAUGACAUCCACAUCCUUUCUUCCACCAGGCUGUGAGAAACUAGGGGACCAGAGACUAUGCUCUUCUUGUCUCCAUCACUUAGCUGUGGAAUCUGAUAUCUACUAGGUGUUUAGUAAAGGUUAGGGGCUUGAGCAGCCAGAAGCACAGUGGAGUAAUUAUGUGUGAUGUUCUUCCAUUAGACCAAUCUGGGUUCACAUCCCAGCCCUGGUAAUUUCUAUGUGAGUGACCUUAAUAAACUUACUUAACUUCCUUAAGUUUCAGUUUCCCUUCUAUAAAAUAAGUAUAAUAAUAUCUACCUCGGAAGAUCAUUGCUACGAUGAAAAAUAAUAUGUGAAGGAAUGCAGUAAGACUUGGAAAAUGGUAGUUAUUAAUAUUGUCCUAUUGAAGAGAUUUGAGGGCAGGGAGAACAAAUAAGAAAGACUGCAGUAAUCCCAGGAACUCCACGAAGAUAACUGGAAGGCUGUCCCUUACAAAUGCUAAUGUAUUCAUGCUACAGGAGUCCACUUUGGAAUGUGAGGAGGCGGGAGGCAGAGGAAAGAGUUUAUUAACCCUUGCUGACGAAAGCCACUCACAUACUGACUCUGAAAUUGAAGCAACCUGAAAAACAGCUUUACUUGAGAAUGUCCAGAAGUGAGUUAAUGGCCAAUCCCAAAGGGGAGAAGAGUAAGCACUUUUCAAGCAUUUGCUGAUCAAGACUUUUGCAUAUCUGAGCUCCUGCACUUCAAAGGGGACUUCCUGCUGGGUUUGCUUACUGCUUUAACUAAGUCCUUGAAUUUAAAGACAGGAGAUAUUCUUGUAAGUGGAGAAUUUUGAAUAGUCAGAUGUUGACCAAUAGAAUUGCUCUUCCUGUUGGCAAAUGAUGCAGCUGGAGUGUUAUUAAUUGAUCAAACUACUCCCCCACCUGGACUCCCAGGUGACUUUUCCACGGUAGUUGUAAACUGGCAGGUAUCAGAAUUCAAUGGUGAAGUGCCUUACAGCUAUCCUGAAAGAUUGGGAGGCAAACUCAAAAGUCCCUUCACCAAAAGGUCAGGUCACUAAGGUUAGGGUGCCCAGAGCUGUGUAAUAAGUGUCAGAAUACUGCCAGUAAAACUGCAAGCAGAGUGUGGAAUUGGAAG
Macaca mulatta (Rhesus monkey) is the source of this 2032-nucleotide long non-coding RNA. Lineage: Eukaryota; Metazoa; Chordata; Mammalia; Primates; Cercopithecidae. The record is from Ensembl.